GAUGUUUGCAAUCACAUGUUUCCUUGGUGACGUAGCCUUUGGAAAUUGUAUGUAGGUCCUGCAGCUGAGACGCAGGAGAUUUUGGUAAAAGUGACUCCAACCAUCCCCUGCCUGGGAGCGAGCCUGCUGUGAUCCUGGCUCAAGAGCAGACGGUCAGGGGUGGCACAGGGAAGCCAAGUGACCAAAUAGGCUGCUAUUGCCUGCAGCAGCUGUGCAGCGAGGAGGAGAAGGCAUCGGUGAAAAUCAUGGUGACAACCAUUAGCUGUGCUGAAAAUGUUAGCACUGGAGAAGACCUUGGUGGCCCUCAUCAAAACUUCUCAUCAGCUGAAGCCCUGGGAGAGGCUCAGGGAUUCUCUCAAGCUGGUUGAUUGUCAAAUGACGUAUAUAAGACGUGGGCACAACACACUCUGAGGGCAAUGAAAUACGCUUACCUGCAUCGGGCUGGCUGGCUCUUGUGGACCUGAUCUCACAAUCCUCGCUUCACGGAGGUCUCACUUUCUUCUGUAGUGAAGAACAGGAACCGGAGAGAAGAUCCCUUUGGCAAAAGGUCUUUAGUGUCACUGAAAAAAAGCAAAGAUUAAAGUUUAA
Molecule: long non-coding RNA, 588 nt
Organism: Capra hircus (goat)
Lineage: Eukaryota; Metazoa; Chordata; Mammalia; Artiodactyla; Bovidae
Exons: 3
Source: RefSeq, a predicted model, not a curated record